Molecule: long non-coding RNA, 175 nt
Organism: Limulus polyphemus (Atlantic horseshoe crab)
Lineage: Eukaryota; Metazoa; Arthropoda; Merostomata; Xiphosura; Limulidae
Exons: 4
Source: RefSeq, a predicted model, not a curated record
CUAUUUUCAAGUUUUGAACAACUUGACUUUCAAGAUCUACAUAUCUACAUGUGCCGAUGUUUCCAUUUAUCAAUGUUAUAUUUUAAGAUCUGUGCAAGAACUCAGCUAACAGAUGUUUCCAUACAUAAAAGCUAUCUUCAGGUUUUUACAAUGAAAAAACUUUUAAAGUUGAAUG